This 460-nucleotide ribosomal RNA is filed under the name uncultured bacterium. RNAcentral's name for it is "partial 16S ribosomal RNA". It matches the Rfam family "Bacterial small subunit ribosomal RNA", at positions 338 to 795 of the family's 1533-position model. The record is from RNAcentral.
CCUACGGGAGGCAGCAGUGAGGAAUAUUGGUCAAUGGACGAGAGUCUGAACCAGCCAAGUAGCGUGAAGGAUGACUGCCCUAUGGGUUGUAAACUUCUUUUAUAUGGGAAUAAAAUGUUCCACGUGUGGGAUUUUGUAUGUACCAUAUGAAUAAGGAUCGGCUAACUCCGUGCCAGCAGCCGCGGUAAUACGGAGGAUCCGAGCGUUAUCCGGAUUUAUUGGGUUUAAAGGGAGCGUAGGUGGAUUGUUAAGUCAGUUGUGAAAGUUUGCGGCUCAACCGUAGAAUUGCAGUUGAAACUGGCAGUCUUGAGUACAGUAGAGGUGGGCGGAAUGCGUGGUGUAGCGGUGAAAUGCUUAGAUAUCACGAAGAACUCCGAUUGCGAAGGCAGUUCACUGGACUGCAACUGACACUGAGGCUCGAAAGUGUGGGUAUCAAACAGGAUUAGAUACCCCUGUAGUC